UUUUGAUCAAUGACCCAGCUUCCUGAGAGCUGCAGAAAAAUCCAGAUUUUCCAGACCCUCGGAGAUGUGAUGGAACCUGGCUGAUGGACACAUGGCUGGUGUUGUAACCUAGAGCCCCCAGCUCCUCUCCUGCUCACUGAGUCCUGGGCCCAGAUUCCAGCAGGGAACCUGGGCAGACCACUCUCACUGGAGCCUGUGAGCUCCAGGGGGCCCCACAGUGACCUGGCUGCCCAUUUGACUGUAGCAUGGGCUGUAACACUUCCUCUGUAAACUCAGCCUGGCUCCCUUCCUCUCUUCUCUCCCAUUCCAUCUGUGCACAGCCCUGCCAGCUCUCCUCUGAGGACAUUUGCCUCAUGCGGCAGCAGGUGGGCUCUUGAGGACAGCUUCACUGAGCCAUGGUCUGCUCAGCUGCCCCUGUGCUGCUCCUGGCCGUGACUCUCCCUCUGGUGGAGCCACCAGCUGCCCGAGCAUCCCAGCCUGGACAGAGGCAGGCUCGAGGGGGAUCAGGGCCACAGCUGGACCCCGAAAAUGGAGCAGGUGAACUGGUCCCGAUCUCCGUCUACGUACAGCUGGACUUCUCCGAUGACCCCUGGCCGGCAGCACUCUCCCAGCCACUGACUGUCCCGACUGCCUCGGCUUCCUCAGCCCCAGUGACUCUCACUGGCCUCAACCUUACAACAGGUGGGGAAGAACCUCCCCUGACCCCUGGCCUUUCAGUGGCUCUUAGCUGCUCAGGUGGGAGGGGGUGCUCAGGGUGUGAGAGCCCAG
RNAcentral lists this long non-coding RNA (768 nucleotides) under Capra hircus (goat). RNAcentral describes it as "lncRNA (ENSCHIG00000004727.1)". Lineage: Eukaryota; Metazoa; Chordata; Mammalia; Artiodactyla; Bovidae. The record is from RNAcentral.